Molecule: ribosomal RNA, 475 nt
Filed under: uncultured bacterium
Lineage: Bacteria
Description: SSU rRNA
Rfam family: Bacterial small subunit ribosomal RNA
Source: RNAcentral
AGGACGAACGCUGGCGGCGUGCUUAACACAUGCAAGUCGAGCGGAAAGGCCCUUCGGGGUACUCGAGCGGCGAACGGGUGAGUAACACGUGAGCAACCUGCCCUUAGCUUCGGGAUAGCUCCGGGAAACCGGAAUUAAUACCGAAUAUGAUUUUUGCUGACAUCAGCAGAAGUGGAAAGUUUUUCGGCUAGGGAUGGACUCGCGGCCUAUCAGCUAGUUGGUGAGGUAACGGCCCACCAAGGCGACGACGGGUAGCCGGCCUGAGAGGGCGACCGGCCACACUGGGACUGAGACACGGCCCAGACUCCUACGGGAGGCAGCAGUGGGGAAUAUUGCGCAAUGGGCGAAAGCCUGACGCAGCGACGCCGCGUGGGGGAUGAAUGCCUUCGGGUUGUAAACCCCUUUCAGCAGGGACGAAGCGAAAGUGACGGUACCUGCAGAAGAAGCGCCGGCUAACUACGCGCCAGCACGCCGC